RNAcentral lists this ribosomal RNA (253 nucleotides) under uncultured bacterium. RNAcentral's name for it is "partial 16S ribosomal RNA". It matches the Rfam family "Bacterial small subunit ribosomal RNA", at positions 524 to 776 of the family's 1533-position model. The record is from RNAcentral.
UACAGAGGGGGCGAGCGUUGUUCGGAAUUACUGGGCGUAAAGGGCGCGUAGGCGGCCCGCUAAGUCGAACGUGAAAUCCCCAGGCUCAACCUGGGAACUGCGUCCGAUACUGGCAGGCUUGAAUCCGGGAGAGGGAUGUGGAAUUCCAGGUGUAGCGGUGAAAUGCGUAGAUAUCUGGAGGAACACCGGUGGCGAAGGCGGCAUCCUGGACCAGAGCUGACACUGAGGCGCGAAAGCGUGGGGAGCAAACAGG